GCAGUCGCCACGGGAAUACAGAGGGUGCGAGCGUUAAUCGGAUUUACUGGGCGUAAAGCGUGCGUAGGCGGCUUUUUAAGUCGGAUGUGAAAUCCCUGAGCUUAACUUAGGAAUUGCAUUCGAUACUGGGAAGCUAGAGUAUGGGAGAGGAUGGUAGAAUUCCAGGUGUAGCGGUGAAAUGCGUAGAGAUCUGGAGGAAUACCGAUGGCGAAGGCAGCCAUCUGGCCUAAUACUGACGCUGAGGUACGAAAGCAUGGGGAGCAAACAGGAUUAGAUACCCGCGUAGUCCCUGUCUCUUAUAC
RNAcentral lists this ribosomal RNA (302 nucleotides) under uncultured bacterium. Its description in RNAcentral is "partial 16S ribosomal RNA". It matches the Rfam family "Bacterial small subunit ribosomal RNA", at positions 508 to 807 of the family's 1533-position model. The record is from RNAcentral.